Molecule: ribosomal RNA, 500 nt
Filed under: uncultured Glomeromycotina
Lineage: Eukaryota; Fungi; Glomeromycota
Description: partial small subunit ribosomal RNA
Rfam family: Eukaryotic small subunit ribosomal RNA
Source: RNAcentral
CCAAUAGCGUAUAUUAAAGUUGUUGCAGUUAAAAAGCUCGUAGUUGAAUUUCGGGAUCAGUACGCCGGUCGUGCCUUCGGUAUGCACUGGUGUCACUGGUUUCUCCCUUCUGAAGAACCAUCAUGCCAUUCAGUUGGUGUGGCGGGGAAUCAGGACUGUUACUUUGAAAAAAUUAGAGUGUUUAAAGCAGGCUCGCGCUUGAAUACAUUAGCAUGGAAUAAUGAAAUAGGACGUUUGACCCUAUUUUGUUGGUUUCUAGGAUCGACGUAAUGAUUAAUAGGGAUAGUUGGGGGCAUUAGUAUUCAAUUGUCAGAGGUGAAAUUCUUGGAUUUAUUGAAGACUAACUACUGCGAAAGCAUUUGCCAAGGAUGUUUUCAUUAAUCAAGAACGAAAGUUAGGGGAUCGAAGACGAUCAGAUACCGUCGUAGUCUUAACCAUAAACUAUGCCGACUAGGGAUCGGAUGAUGUUAAUUUUUUAAUGACUCAUUCGGCGCCUUACG